Molecule: long non-coding RNA, 513 nt
Filed under: Salmo salar (Atlantic salmon)
Lineage: Eukaryota; Metazoa; Chordata; Actinopteri; Salmoniformes; Salmonidae
Description: lncRNA (ENSSSAG00000094176.1)
Source: RNAcentral
CUCAUCGGUGGAGGGAGGCUGCUAGUGAAAUAUUAAUAUUCUCUAUCGCCCCCACAGCAUGGAAUCUAAAUCAUCCCAAAGGGCCUUCUGAUGCUAGAGCAUAUCAUGCUUUUGAGUGAACAGCAAAAUCCAUUAGGAAGAGAAGGAUGGCAUUCUGAAUGGGGAAGAGAAGAAGUAUGGCUCUGAAAUUUUAAAGAAGCCCAGACACUGUGCUGCUUUAUUCUAUCAACUUCACCACGGAUACAACAUUGUCAUCUUUGGCGGUAAAGAUGGAUUUUCAAGGAAGAGUGCGAGCUGAUCAAAGGGUCGAAAAUGAAGAUAUUGCCAGAUGUAUGUUCACUGUCCGAGGAACAGCCCGUUUACUGCUGGCAAAAGUGUCCAUAACCAGAGGUAUGUUUUGAUGUGAGAGAGGAAGCCAGUCCCGUCAUCGCCACCUCACCCGCUCUUAAGAUAACCUUUGGGCCAACUUGGAGCCCAAGGCUGGUUAGGAGACACCGCUAGAGACACUAUGUA